RNAcentral lists this transfer RNA (60 nucleotides) under Malcus inconspicuus. RNAcentral's name for it is "tRNA-Pro". Lineage: Eukaryota; Metazoa; Arthropoda; Insecta; Hemiptera; Malcidae. The record is from RNAcentral.
CAGUAAGUAGUUUAUUAAAAUAUUAAUUUUGGAGAUUAAAGAUGAUUUUUUCUUUACUGA